AACUUUUAGCAAUGGAUCUCUUGGCUCUCGCAUCGAUGAAGAACGCAGCGAAAUGCGCGAAGUAAUGUGAAUUGCAGAAUUCAGUGAAUCAUCGAAUCUUUGAACGCACCUUGCACCCUUUGGCAUUCCGAAGGGUAUGCUCGUUUGAGUGUCAUUGUACUCUCACACUCCCAAUCCCUUUGGAUUGGGAGCGGUGGACUUGGUGGUUGCCGCUUGACUGAGGCUCACCUGAAAUAUGUUAGUGCAUCUCUUGAUUGGACAUAGUACGGCGUGAUAAGUGUCUUCGCCGGCUCCUCGCAAAGAGGGUGGCCGAUCGGGAGCUCUGUUGCUUCAAACAGUCUUCGGACAAUCUUCUGACAACUUGACCUCAAAUCGAGUAGGACUACCCGCUGAACUUAAGCAUAUCAAUAAGCGGAGGCU
Molecule: unclassified non-coding RNA, 420 nt
Filed under: uncultured Sebacinaceae
Lineage: Eukaryota; Fungi; Basidiomycota; Agaricomycetes; Sebacinales; Sebacinaceae
Description: sequence contains ITS2
Rfam family: 5.8S ribosomal RNA (bases 1-154)
Source: RNAcentral